This 465-nucleotide ribosomal RNA is filed under the name uncultured bacterium. Its description in RNAcentral is "partial 16S ribosomal RNA". It matches the Rfam family "Bacterial small subunit ribosomal RNA", at positions 339 to 795 of the family's 1533-position model. The record is from RNAcentral.
CUACGGGAUGCACCAGUGGGGAAUAUUGGACAAUGGGGGAAACCCUGAUCCAGCAAUGCCGCGUGUGUGAAGAAGGCCUGCGGGUUGUAAAGCACUUUCGGUUGGGAGGACUGCUUCUAGCACUAAUAUUGUUGGAAGUUGACGUUACCUUCAGAAGAGGCACCGGCUAACUCCGUGCCAGCAGCCGCGGUAAUACGGAGGGUGCAAGCGUUAAUCGGAAUUACUGGGCGUAAAGCGCGCGUAGGCGGCUAGAUCAGUCGGGUGUGAAAGCCCCGGGCUUAACCUGGGAACUGCAUCCGAUACUGUCUAGCUUGAGUACAGGAGAGGAGAGUGGAAUUCCACAUGUAGCGGUGAAAUGCGUAGAUAUGUGGAGGAACACCAAUGGCGAAGGCAGCUCUCUGGCCUGAUACUGACGCGGAGGUGCGAAAGCGUGGGGAGCAAACAGGAUUAGAUACCCGGGUAGUC